Molecule: ribosomal RNA, 447 nt
Filed under: uncultured bacterium
Lineage: Bacteria
Description: partial 16S ribosomal RNA
Rfam family: Bacterial small subunit ribosomal RNA
Source: RNAcentral
AACGAACGCUGGCGGCAGGCUUAACACAUGCAUGUCGAGCGCCCCGCAAGGGGAGCGGCAGACGGGUGAGUAACACGUGGGAAUCUACCCAUCCCUACGGAACAACUCCGGGAAACUGGAGCUAAUACCGUAUACGCCCUUCGGGGGAAAGAUUUAUCGGGGAUGGAUGAGCCCGCGUUGGAUUAGCUAGUUGGUGGGGUAAAGGCCUACCAAGGCGACGAUCUAUAGCUGGUCUGAGAGGAUGAUCAGCCACAUUGGGACUGAGACACGGCCCAAACUCCUACGGGAGGCAGCAGUGGGGAAUAUUGGACAAUGGGCGCAAGCCUGAUCCAGCCAUGCCGCGUGAAUGAUGAAGGCCUUAGGGUUGUAAAGUUCUUUCACCGAUGAAGAUAAUGACGGUAGUCGGCGAAGAAGCCCCGGCUAACUUCGUGCCAGCAGCCGCAGUAA